CCUACGGGAGGCUGCAGUGGGGAAUAUUGGACAAUGGGCGAAAGCCUGAUCCAGCCAUGCCGCGUGUGUGAAGAAGGCCUUCGGGUUGUAAAGCACUUUCAGUGGGGAAGAAAGCCUUGGGGCUAAUACCCUCGAGGAAGGACAUCACCCACAGAAGAAGCACCGGCUAACUCCGUGCCAGCAGCCGCGGUAAUACGGAGGGUGCGAGCGUUAAUCGGAAUUACUGGGCGUAAAGCGCGCGUAGGCGGUCUGAUAAGCCGGUUGUGAAAGCCCCGGGCUCAACCUGGGAACGGCAUCCGGAACUGUCAGGCUAGAGUGCAGGAGAGGAAGGUAGAAUUCCCGGUGUAGCGGUGAAAUGCGUAGAGAUCGGGAGGAAUACCAGUGGCGAAGGCGGCCUUCUGGACUGACACUGACGCUGAGGUGCGAAAGCGUGGGUAGCAAACAGGAUUAGAUACCCGAUAUC
RNAcentral lists this ribosomal RNA (463 nucleotides) under Vreelandella stevensii. RNAcentral describes it as "partial 16S ribosomal RNA". It matches the Rfam family "Bacterial small subunit ribosomal RNA", at positions 338 to 794 of the family's 1533-position model. Lineage: Bacteria; Pseudomonadati; Pseudomonadota; Gammaproteobacteria; Oceanospirillales; Halomonadaceae. The record is from RNAcentral.